UAUAGUGGUGAACUUGGAAAGAGCUCUGGUGCUGUGUGACGGCAGCCAUGGCAGCAUUUCAAGUGGGAGCAUCUCCGUCGUUUCCGAGUGAAAAUUAAUAAUUAGAUUAUAUUAAUUUUGAACCAGAUAAAGAUUAAAGUAAAGAUUGAACAGAAGAUUAGAUUUUGUGGGGGGAUUUUGAUUAAUUAAUAUUGAUUCUUGUUAGAACCCUUGGUUCGAUUCAUGGAAAUUUCAACCAUUUUUUUGUGGCACCAUUGUUGAUUAGUUGGUGUUCAUCAUUAUUU
RNAcentral lists this long non-coding RNA (284 nucleotides) under Linum usitatissimum (flax). RNAcentral describes it as "long non-coding RNA (LUSI_LNC000816)". The record is from RNAcentral. Lineage: Eukaryota; Viridiplantae; Streptophyta; Magnoliopsida; Malpighiales; Linaceae.